GCCCGCCUAGCUCAAUCGGAUAGAGCGUCAGACUCUUACAUUAGGCGGGAUCAUCUGAAGGCUGCGAGUUCGACCCUCGCGGUGGGCU
Molecule: transfer RNA, 88 nt
Organism: Pleurotus ostreatus PC15
Lineage: Eukaryota; Fungi; Basidiomycota; Agaricomycetes; Agaricales; Pleurotaceae
Rfam family: tRNA
About the family: Transfer RNA (tRNA) molecules are approximately 80 nucleotides in length.
Source: Rfam